CCUACGGGUGGCAGCAGUGAGGAAUAUUGGUCAAUGGACGAGAGUCUGAACCAGCCAAGUAGCGUGAAGGAUGACUGCCCUAUGGGUUGUAAACUUCUUUUAUAUGGGAAUAAAAUGUUCCACGUGUGGGAUUUUGUAUGUACCAUAUGAAUAAGGAUCGGCUAACUCCGUGCCAGCAGCCGCGGUAAUACGGAGGAUCCGAGCGUUAUCCGGAUUUGUUGGGUUUAAAGGGAGCGUAGGUGGAUUGUUAAGUCAGUUGUGAAAGUUUGCGGCUCAACCGUAAAAUUGCAGUUGAAACUGGCAGUCUUGAGUACAGUAGUGGUGGGCGGAAUUCGUGGUGUAGCGGUGAAAUGCUUAGAUCUCACGAAGAACUCCGAUUGCGAAGGCAGUUCACUGGACUGCAACUGACACUGAGGCUCGAACGUGUGGGUAUCAAACAGGCUUAGCUACCCGGGUCGUC
This 460-nucleotide ribosomal RNA is filed under the name uncultured bacterium. Its description in RNAcentral is "partial 16S ribosomal RNA". It matches the Rfam family "Bacterial small subunit ribosomal RNA", at positions 338 to 795 of the family's 1533-position model. The record is from RNAcentral.